Non-coding RNA from Elaeis guineensis (African oil palm), 442 nucleotides. The record is from RefSeq and is a predicted model, not a curated record. Lineage: Eukaryota; Viridiplantae; Streptophyta; Magnoliopsida; Arecales; Arecaceae.
AACUCAUCGCGAAAGAGAGAGAGAGGCGGAGAGGCAAAUCUAAUCGAGAGGUGGCGAGCGAGGCUGGGGUUUCUCCGGCGAUUCUCUCCUUUUGUGUGGCGCAGGUCCUCUAGAUCCGAGGCGGAGGGGAAAAAAACUAGGGUUUCGGAGCUCCCUUUAAAACCCUCGCAGAAAUCGCUGCCCAAAGAUUCUUUUGAGGAAAAUCGCUGCCCAAAGAUUCAAAUCCGAAGAUCUUCCAGUAGAAGAAGAGAAGCAGCACCGGCGGUGGCGGCGGCGGCCCUUCCCCCGUCCUCUCUCUCCCUCGCUUUCCUCUUUCGUCUUGCUCGUUUUACCUAUGGGUCGAUGUCCAUCCGUCUACCUUCUUAUCGAUCUACGGAAAGGAAGAGAAAGACUUGCCAUUUUGUUAUCUUUCAGCUUUACAAAUUUCUAAAGGAUGAUCCAG